RNAcentral lists this unclassified non-coding RNA (3498 nucleotides) under Hevea brasiliensis (rubber tree). The record is from RNAcentral. Lineage: Eukaryota; Viridiplantae; Streptophyta; Magnoliopsida; Malpighiales; Euphorbiaceae.
GUUUUCUAAUUAUGGUAAUUUUACCUUUCUCUUUCCGACCCACCAUCAAACGCGGUCCACAAAUCACCAAUAAAUGCCCUUCUUCUUCCGUUAGGGUUUCGCAGCCAUUUCUCGAUUUCUUCGUUGUCUUCUUCUUCUUCUUUGCUCUCUCUAUCGCUUUCCUUCACUGCUUCGAGCUUUCAUUAUACAUCUCUCGGCGGCUUAAUUAGGGUUUCUUCACCUUCAAUUUGGGUUUAAUUCUAUACACUGUUAUCGCAAUUUGAGUCCGUGAUUAAUGUUUUUUUUUGUCAUGUGAGAAUGCCUGCGACGGAUUAUCAGGGAUCGUCAGCGUCGUUUGGCCGUUCUAUUUUGAGCCUCCGCCGUGACCAGGUUCAUUCAAUGGAAGCCACGCAUGAGGCAUCCAGUUAUGAGCUGGAGCUUGAAGCUUUUCAAAGGAAGGUAGCGGAACGGUUCGUGGAUCUGUCUUCAGUCGGGUCGGAUGAUUUACUUUCGCUAUCGUGGAUCCGGAAGCUGCUUGAUUGUUUCCUGUCUUGUCAGGAGGAGUUUAGAGUUAUUCUGUUUAAUAACAGAUCGCAUGUUUAUAAGGCGCCUUUGGAUCGGUUUAUCCAUGAAUUUUUUGAGCGGAGCGUGAAGGCUUUGGAUCUUUGUAAUGCGAUUCGAGAUGGGAUUGAACAGAUCAGAGAGUGGAAGAAGCUAAUUGAGAUUGUUCUCUGCGCUUUGGACAAUCAGAGAAUGCUUGGGGAAGGACAGUUCCGUCGUGCUAAGAAGGCGUUGGUUGAUUUGGCCAUUUCAAUGCUCGACGAGAGGGAAUCUGCUGCCGCUCUGGCUCACCGGAACCGCUCCUUUGGCCGUCAAAAUGCUGCGUCUUCGAGAGACCAGCAUCAUCGGAAUUUUGGCCAUUUUAGAUCCUUGUCGUGGAGUGUGUCGCGGUCCUGGUCCGCUGCAAGGCAGCUCCAGGCGAUUGGGAAUAAUUUGGCGGCACCCAGAGCCAAUGAAAUUGUCUCUACUAAUGGAAUUGUGGUGGCUGUUUAUGCCAUGAACUCAAUUUUGUUGUUUGUAAUGUGGGCUUUGGUGGCAGCGAUACCUUGCCAGGACAGAGGGUUGCAAGUGCAUUUCUCGAUUCCUAGACAUUUUCCCUGGGCUGCAUCAAUACUGUCAUUGCACGAGAGGGUGCUUGAGGAGUCAAGAAAGCGGGAUAGAAGAAAUGCUUGCGGGCUGUUAAGGGAGAUUUAUCAGAUGGACAAGUGUACUAAAGGGUUGGCUGAAUUGGCUGAUUCUGUUCAGUACCCUUUGACAGAGGAAAAAGAGGCAGAGGUGAGGCUAAGAGUGCAAGAGUUGGGAAGGGUUUGUGAGGUAAUGAAGGAAGGGUUGGACCCACUGGAGAGACAGGUUAGAGAGGUGUUUCACAGAAUUGUUCAUAGCCGGACUGAAGGGCUCGACUCUCUGGUUAGAGUGAACCACAACGAUUGAUAUCAUUGCUUGUAAGGAUGGCAUGAUUUUGGGUGCUAAACAAGAGACACACAGAGGAUGAUUUAAGGCAUGCUUUAAGGCAUGCUUUCAAAAUAAAAGGGUAAUUGGCUAAAUCAUUUAUGCAGCUGCUUCUUUCUGAACCGUGGGAGGAUUACUUAACUGGGGAAUGCUCCGUCCAUAAACUGGCCUUGUAAGGCAUUUGCCUAAGUUCUCAGUGGAUGUUCAUGUCUUAUCUUACCUUUGUUGUCUCCAUGGAUGAGGACAGAGACAGAUCUUGUUUGUCCUCUCUAUAUUUUUUUAUAGUUCUAGUGAUUUUUUUUUUCAAUCCCCUUUUUGCAUACUAGGAGUAAAGAAUUCAAUUUGAAUCUUUCCUCAAAACUUCAUAAAUUGAUUCUGACCCCUAAUAAAUUACUGCAGGAUUUGGAAUUUCUCCUUGCAUUAUUGCAAUGCUGGCUCUUACCUAUUACAUUCAAAGCUCCAGCUUUCCCUAAGUAGGGAAGUUCAUUUGACUUUGAUUUGCUGGCAUAUGAAUGAAGGUCAUCUCAGUCUCAUCAUAUUUAUUUCUUUAUUUAAAUACUUAAAAAAGGGUCCAAUUUCUGAGUAUAAUAUCUUUGAGCUGUAUUCUAUAACAUCUCUGUUGACUUUUAUUCAGUCUCUUUUAAUGUCCCUCAGUUGCAUUUAGAAAAGAAUUUCUGUAGUUAUUGCAUCUAGAAUAGAAUUUCUAUUUGUGAUGGGGUACAUUUUUUUUUAUUACUUUUUCAAGCUUCCUUUUCUUGACAAGGACAUAGUAUACUUCAAAUGCCAUUGAAUCUUAUUCUGUGAGGAAAAGAUCACAUCGACCAAGUCCUCUGGGAUUAUCCGCAUGCUUUAUUUUGUGUGAAAUGUAUGCCUGAAGCAACAUUCUGCUGUUUAACCCAGCUUGUAGGAUGUUAACUUCAUGGAUCUCCAUCAAAUGAUAAUUCUUGACUGUCUAGAAGCAUGGAACCAUUGAAAAUUUUUUAGCAUUGAAUGGAUUUUUGCUUUUAUCACAUUGGAGAAAACAUUAUUGAGGUAGUUAGAAUUUUGGAUUGAGAUGUCCUUUCAAUAGCUGCAAUCUAAAAUCUAUUUGGUUUUUGACUUGUCUAGUAGUAAUAUGCUUGACUAACUUGACCGCAAAUUUGUGAUGCUUUGCUUAAAUGUAUGGUUUACAAAGCUUCCAUCAUACAUUUCUCUACCAUGAUUACUCCUUAGCCCCCUUUUCUUUUUGUCUAUUGUGAUCUAUAGUCACCCUUUACUUGGCAUUAUUCUUCUUCAUCCUUGUCCAAUAUGUGCUUCCCUUUUCAAAAGAAAAAUUGAUCUUCUUUCCUACUGAAAUAGUGGAAGCAAAUGCACUUGACAAGCGGGUUGGGUGCUAUCAUUACAAGGGAGGAAAUGCUUUGUUGAAUAUCUGUGCAUAUGGCUUGUCCUUCAUGUUUUUCGUUUUUUGUUGUUGAAGCGACCUAUAAAAGUUAGGAGUGCACUGUGAUGCUCUUGGCACAUCUGAAGAUUUUGUGUAGAAAUUUGUUUUGUUAAAUUUACAGGAUUGUACGAGGUUUAUUCCAGACAAAACUGUUGCUAUAUUUAUUUUACCUUUUCUGUGGAUAAUGUAAGUAAUAAUAGAUUCCCACUGGGUCAUGGAAGUAACUUUAAAUUUUUAUUGGUUCACAAGGUUUUCUCUGUUGCUGUCUAACAUGCAGCAAAAUGUUACUGAUUCAUAGAAUUCAUAGCUGAAUUUCUAGCCACAGGUAGUUCAGCUUGUAAUCGUUAAUUAUUCGCUUUUGUUUGUCAGCAAUAGCAAUUUGUUCUGUUGCAUGUCCUGAUCCUGAAGCUCAUGAAUGUACGUAUGUAAUUUUUUUUUCUGCUUAGUCUCUGCAUACACUUGUAGAAGGCUUAGCAGAAGUUGGAGAAAAGUAGUUGUCACCUGUGUCCUGUGUUUUGCCAGUGGUUGGUACACAAUGCUUCUCCACUGUAAACAGUUGGUCCAAAAAUAAUAGACUUGGAAGCCUUGAU